RNAcentral lists this long non-coding RNA (1461 nucleotides) under Hordeum vulgare. RNAcentral describes it as "long non-coding RNA (HVUL_LNC008508)". The record is from RNAcentral. Lineage: Eukaryota; Viridiplantae; Streptophyta; Magnoliopsida; Poales; Poaceae.
GGGGGCUAGCUAGGGUACUAGGGGCAAGUUAUAUAGCAUGGGUGCAGCGUUAUAGCAGAGGCGGAGGAUGAAAAAAAUAAGGUGUGGCAAAGUUUGCCGGAGAUCACUGGAGGUACAAAGCUAUGUAGUCGUGUCAGACAGAUUCUAUCGUCGGUCGGGAACUAUCCUCGCAGGAGCGACGGAGUGCAAUGCGGACGGCCAUUGCCUCCUCCAACCCACACGGGAUGACACCCCAAUCGACGGAUUCGGGUUAGUCGGAGCCAGAUUUGCUGCUCGCCAUGCCGGGAAGGUUGGAGAUCGUCGAAGGUGAAAUCGGAUGAUGGAGGGGAGUGAAGGUGACUUGAGUGGAGCCUCUUGGGUUUGAUCAGACGAAUGGAUUGGGAGGAAUUUAUACGAGUCGGGUGGGCCAGCAUGGGCCGAUUCCCGCGUGGCGGAGGACCCUCACAUUCGCCCCAUAUUUGGGCUGGAUAUGAGGGGUGUCUAUCAACCCGGGCGUUUGUGGACAGUUUGCGGCGUCUCCGUGGUUCACUUUUCUGUGAUCGGUCAGUAACCGAGCAGGCAUUUGAGACGGGUAUAAAAGUUCCAUAUGUAGAUGCUUUAAACCCUCAUCCUGGCGCCACCGUAGGCUACCCGUCGUCAGUUACCCUCCUGUUUCUCACGACAUGGUCAGCCGCCGCCGCUGCGCUAGCUGCUUAGGGUUCUCGAUUGAAUUGAGCUCGGUUGGUUCCUGGCACAACAACUGGAUGGGUCGGCUCAUCAGGCCAGCAGCCACUUUCUUUCACCCUUUUUUGGAUGCGCUCGAAUGAUCGAUACUUGUGUAUGUGUAAAUUUUGUUUUGUCAAAAAUUAAGGUAUGACGGCUGCCAUACCUUGCCCACCGGGGGCCUCCGCCAAUGCGUUGUAGCACGUCGGUGGUGAGCAUCAGUGUCCAUGGCGGUGUAUGAAUGACACGCACCAGAGUAUGCGAGGAGGAAGACAACGCCAUAUCCCAAAAGCAUCUAAAUCAUAGCAAAACCACUCAACGGGCGGAUUUACCCGGUUUCAGAUAUUUCAGGAUCAAAAUUGUACCAAAAUCGACUUAAGGGGGUGUCAUCAUAGGAUACUCGAGUUUUUCAUGUCAAAUAUUCCAUCGCAUUUAUCGGCAAUGGAUAUAUCAGCACACAAUAAACCCAUUUACAUUUGAUUUUAUGCCUGUACUAGCCAAAGCAAGAAAGAAAAGAACCAGAGAUGUAGAAAGCAGGCAAAUCCCAAAGGAGAAUGCCAAAAGAGGGCCAAAGGGUCCAGAAGUGCCCCUCUACCGGACACCUGCCCCAAUCUUCUACGGACCAAAAACCGCUCACAUGCAUGCAGACCUCAAAAGCUCGACCGCAAACAUCUGGAUACGAAAGUGUAGACACGCAGCUAGCUUUACCCCGAAAUCCCGAUGCACCCCAUGUGUUUGGCGGCCUACAAUGCAACGCAC